GACGAACGCUGGCGGCGUGCUUAACACAUGCAAGUCGAACGGAAAGGCCCUGCUUUUGUGGGGUGCUCGAGUGGCGAACGGGUGAGUAACACGUGAGUAACCUGCCCUUGACUUUGGGAUAACUUCAGGAAACUGGGGCUAAUACCGUAUAGGAUCUCCUGCUGCAUGGUGGGGGUUGGAACGUUUCGGCGGUUGGGGAUGGACUCGCGGCUUAUCAGCUUGUUGGUGGGGUAGUGGCUUACCAAGGCUUUGACGGGUAGCCGGCAUGAGAGGGUGACCGGCCACAGUGGGACUGAGAUACGGCCCAGACUCCUACGGGAGGCAGCAGUGGGGAAUAUUGCACAAUGGGCGGAAGCCUGAUGCAGCAACGCCGCGUGCGGGAUGAUGGCCUUCGGGUUGUAAACCGCUUUCGCCUGUGACGAAGCGUGAGUGACGGUAAUGGGUAAAGAAGCACCGGCUAACUACGUG
RNAcentral lists this ribosomal RNA (468 nucleotides) under uncultured bacterium. RNAcentral describes it as "partial 16S ribosomal RNA". It matches the Rfam family "Bacterial small subunit ribosomal RNA", at positions 28 to 507 of the family's 1533-position model. The record is from RNAcentral.